AGCCAGACUCCUACGGGAGGCAGCAGUGGGGAAUAUUGCACAAUGGGGGGAACCCUGAUGCAGCGACGCCGCGUGGGUGAAGGAGCACCUCGGUGCGUAAAGCCCUAUCGGCAGGGAAGAAAAGCGAACAGGUUCGCCUGGACGGUACCUGACUAAGAAGCCCCGGCUAACUACGUGCCAGCAGCCGCGGUAAUACGUAGGGGGCGAGCGUUAUCCGGAUUCACUGGGUGUAAAGGGAGCGUAGACGGCCAUGCAAGCCAGGGGUGGAAGCCCGGGGCCCAACCCCGGGACUGCCCUUGGAACUGCAUGGCUGGAGUGCGGGAGGGGCAGGCGGAAUUCCUGGUGUAGCGGUGAAAUGCGUAGAUAUCAGGAGGAACACCGGCGGCGAAGGCGGCCUGCUGGACCGCGACUGACGUUGAGGCUCGAAAGCGUGGGGAGCGAACAGGAUUAGAUACCCCAGUACA
This 464-nucleotide ribosomal RNA is filed under the name uncultured bacterium. Its description in RNAcentral is "bacterial SSU rRNA". It matches the Rfam family "Bacterial small subunit ribosomal RNA", at positions 329 to 797 of the family's 1533-position model. The record is from RNAcentral.